AGCUUUCUGUGAAGACUUUGGCAAUGAGGAAGAUUGGUCUGGAAAAUUGAACGCCAAUUGGAAUGGAUUAAGAAAAGAAAAAUAGCAAAAACCAUUCGAAUUGCAGAAGGCAAGCAUUUUGAAAUUACGCUUGCACUGGCGUAAGUGUAUCUGAAUAUAUGCACUGUAUGUAGUCAUUUGCGGCCAUGCUAGAGCACCACCUUUAGUCGAACAAAUCAACCCCAGGACUUAUUCUUUGUCACUGCCUGGAAUCGAACUCGGAAUCUUGGGGUUAGUAGCCCGCGCUUUAAACCACU
Octopus bimaculoides (California two-spot octopus) is the source of this 296-nucleotide long non-coding RNA. The record is from RefSeq and is a predicted model, not a curated record. NCBI's taxonomy places the organism in Eukaryota, Metazoa, Mollusca, Cephalopoda, Octopoda, Octopodidae.